UACGUAGGGUGCAAGCGUUAAUCGGAAUUACUGGGCGUAAAGCGUGCGCAGGCGGUUAUGUAAGACAGAUGUGAAAUGCCCGGGCUUAACCUGGGAACUGCAUUUGUGACUGCAUGGCUAGAGUUUGGCAGAGGGGGGGUAGAAUUCCACGUGUAGCAGUGAAAUGCGUAGAUAUGUGGAGGAACACCGAUGGCGAAGGCAGCCCCCUGGGUCAAGACUGACGCUCAUGCACGAAAGCGUGGG
RNAcentral lists this ribosomal RNA (243 nucleotides) under uncultured bacterium. RNAcentral's name for it is "partial 16S ribosomal RNA". It matches the Rfam family "Bacterial small subunit ribosomal RNA", at positions 524 to 765 of the family's 1533-position model. The record is from RNAcentral.